RNAcentral lists this ribosomal RNA (472 nucleotides) under uncultured bacterium. Its description in RNAcentral is "bacterial SSU rRNA". It matches the Rfam family "Bacterial small subunit ribosomal RNA", at positions 335 to 799 of the family's 1533-position model. The record is from RNAcentral.
ACUCCUACGGGAGGCAGCAGUGGGGAAUAUUGCACAAUGGGGAAACCCUGAUGCAGCCAUGCCGCGUGUGUGAAGAAGGCCUUCGGUUGUAAAGCACUUUCAGUAGGGAGGAAGGUAGUGUAGUUAACACCUGCACUAUUUGACGUUACCUACAGAAGAAGCACCGGCUAACUCCGUGCCAGCAGCCGCGGUAAUACGGAGGGGUGCGAGCGUUAAUCGGAAUUACUGGGCGUAAAGCGCAUGCAGGCGGCCUGUUAAGUCAGAUGUGAAAGCCCGGGGGCUUAACCUCGGAAUUGCAUUUGAAACUGGCAGGCUAGAGUCUUGUAGAGGGGGUAGAAUUUCAGGUGUAGCGGUGAAAUGCGUAGAGAUCUGAAGGAAUACCAGUGGCGAAGGCGGCCCCCUGGACAAAGACUGACGCUCAGAUGCGAAAGCGUGGGGAGCAAACAGGAUUAGAUACCCUGGUAGGAUAGCG